RNAcentral lists this ribosomal RNA (253 nucleotides) under uncultured bacterium. RNAcentral's name for it is "partial 16S ribosomal RNA". It matches the Rfam family "Bacterial small subunit ribosomal RNA", at positions 524 to 776 of the family's 1533-position model. The record is from RNAcentral.
UACGUAGGGGGCAAGCGUUGUCCGGAUUUAUUGGGCGUAAAGAGCGUGUAGGCGGUUUGGUAGGUCCGCUGUGAAAACUCGAGGCUCAACCUCGAGACGCCGGUGGAAACCAUCAGACUAGAGUCCGGAAGAGGAGAGUGGAAUUCCUGGUGUAGCGGUGAAAUGCGCAGAUAUCAGGAAGAACACCCGUGGCGAAGGCGGCUCUCUAGUACGGUACUGACGCUGAGACGCGAAAGCGUGGGAAGCGAACAGG